AUGGGAGCUUUCCCUUCACCGCCCCCAUGGGGGUGGUCCACAGGAUUCAUAACUACCCCUCUUACUACGUGGCGUUUACCUAGCCAACACUUAGAUCCGGCUCUACCCAAACUUUUUUGGUUCACCCCAACAUUACCCACUUGUCCGACUGUUGCUAAGCAGUUUUGGGAUACUAAACGGACCUCACCAGAUGGUAAUCUUAAAGGGGCCGAUUUACCCUCUUUUGCAAUGAGUUUCGCUACAGCACCUGCUGCUCUAGCUAAUUGCCCACCCCUUCCACGUGUGAUUUCCAUGUUAUGCAUGGCCGUGCCUAAGGGCAUAACAGUUGAAGUAGAUUCUUCUUUUCUCUCAAAAAACCCCUUCCCAAACUGUACAAGCUUCUUCCAAAGCAUACAGCUUUCUAGAAGUAUAUGA
RNAcentral lists this ribosomal RNA (414 nucleotides) under Triticum aestivum (bread wheat). RNAcentral describes it as "partial small subunit ribosomal RNA". The record is from RNAcentral. Lineage: Eukaryota; Viridiplantae; Streptophyta; Magnoliopsida; Poales; Poaceae.